This 163-nucleotide ribosomal RNA is filed under the name uncultured bacterium. Its description in RNAcentral is "partial 16S rRNA". It matches the Rfam family "Bacterial small subunit ribosomal RNA", at positions 357 to 511 of the family's 1533-position model. The record is from RNAcentral.
GGAAGUCUUCCACAAUGGACGGAAAGUCUGAUGGAGCAACGCCGCGUGAGUGAAGAAGGGUUUCGGCUCGUAAAACUCUGUUGUUAAAGAAGAACAUAUCUGAGAGUAACUGUUCAGGUAUUGACGGUAUUUAACCAGAAAGCCACGGCUAACUACGUGCCAC